UUGACCUCGGAUCAGGUAGGGAUACCCGCUGAACUUAAGCAUAUCAAUAAGCGGAGGAAAAGAAACCAACAGGGAUUGCCUCAGUAACGGCGAGUGAAGCGGCAACAGCUCAAAUUUGAAAUCUGGCUCUUUCAGGGUCCGAGUUGUAAUUUGUAGAAGAUGCUUCGAGUGUUAGCCUGGUCUAAGUUCCUUGGAACAGGACGUCAUAGAGGGUGAGAAUCCCGUAUGUGACUAGUGCUCUCGCUCAUGUGAAGCUCUUUCGACGAGUCGAGUUGUUUGGGAAUGCAGCUCAAAAUGGGUGGUAAAUUUCAUCUAAAGCUAAAUAUUGGCCAGAGACCGAUAGCGCACAAGUAGAGUGAUCGAAAGAUGAAAAGCACUUUGGAAAGAGAGUUAAACAGUACGUGAAAUUGUUGAAAGGGAAGCGCUUGCAACUAGACUUGCAUGCCGUCGAUCAUCCGAGGUUUUCCCCGGUGCACUCGGCGGUGUUCAGGCCAGCAUCGGUUUAGGUGGUUGGAUAAAGGCCUUGGGAAUGUAGCUUCUUUCGGGGAGUGUUAUAGCCCUCGGUGCAAUGCAGCCUACCUGGACCGAGGACCGCGCUUCGGCUAGGAUGCUGGCGUAAUGGUUGUAAGCGACCCGUCUUGAAACACGGACCAAGGAGUCUAACAUCUAUGCGAGUGUUUGGGUGUCAAACCCAUACGCGUAAUGAAAGUGAACGGAGGUGAGAACCCUUAAGGGUGCAUCAUCGACCGAUCCUGAUGUCUUCGGAUGGAUUUGAGUAAGAGCAUAGCUGUUGGGACCCGAAAGAUGGUGAACUAUGCCUGAAUAGGGUGAAGCCAGAGGAAACUCUGGUGGAGGCUCGCAGCGGUUCUGACGUGCAAAUCGAUCG
Molecule: ribosomal RNA, 886 nt
Filed under: Haplographium catenatum
Lineage: Eukaryota; Fungi; Ascomycota; Leotiomycetes; Helotiales; Hyaloscyphaceae
Description: eukaryotic LSU rRNA
Rfam family: Eukaryotic large subunit ribosomal RNA
Source: RNAcentral